CCUACGGGGGGCAGCAGUGGGGGAUAUUGCACAAUGGGGGAAACCCUGAUGCAGCGACGCCGCGUGUGGGAAGACGGUCCUCUGGAUUGUAAACCACUGUCCCCAGGGACGAAGAUGACGGUACCUGGGGAGGAAGCUCCGGCUAACUACGUGCCAGCAGCCGCGGUAAUACGUAGGGAGCGAGCGUUGUCCGGAAUUACUGGGGGAAAAGGGAGCGUAGGCGGGACUGCAAGUUGGGUGUCAAAUCUACCGGCUCAACCGGUAGCCGCACUCAAAACUGCAGUUCUUGAGUGAAGUAGAGGCAGGCGGAAUUCCUAGUGUAGCGGUGAAAUGCGUAGAUAUUAGGAGGAACACCAGUGGCGAAGGCGGCCUGCUGGGCUUUUACUGACGCUGAGGCUCGAAAGUGUGGGGAGCAAACAGGAUUAGAUACCCGGGUAGUC
This 440-nucleotide ribosomal RNA is filed under the name uncultured bacterium. RNAcentral's name for it is "partial 16S ribosomal RNA". It matches the Rfam family "Bacterial small subunit ribosomal RNA", at positions 338 to 795 of the family's 1533-position model. The record is from RNAcentral.